UUUUUUUGUGUGACAUGUCCCAAAUCUUUAUUGUGUUUGUUAGAUUUGUGUUAGAGACAUUUAAAUAUGUAUCCAUUUGGUUCCACUUUCAGUAUACCCAGGGCCACCAAUGCCUGCUAGCCCAGCUCUCCAACACAGAAGUUUGACUCCUACUUUUAAAGAUUCAGCUCCAGGACGUUUAAGCCCCGCCCUUGUUUCCACCGACCAAUCAGGUGAUCA
This is a long non-coding RNA of Saccostrea echinata, 219 nucleotides long. RefSeq lists it as uncharacterized. The transcript is spliced from 3 exons. The record is from RefSeq and is a predicted model, not a curated record. Lineage: Eukaryota; Metazoa; Mollusca; Bivalvia; Ostreida; Ostreidae.